GCCCUCGUAGCUCAGUCGGAUAGAGCGGGACUCUCCUAAAGUCCAGGCCACAGGUUCGAUUCCUGUCGGGGGCA
Molecule: transfer RNA, 74 nt
Filed under: Hoyosella rhizosphaerae
Lineage: Bacteria; Bacillati; Actinomycetota; Actinomycetes; Mycobacteriales; Hoyosellaceae
Also listed under: 1 other name
Rfam family: tRNA
About the family: Transfer RNA (tRNA) molecules are approximately 80 nucleotides in length. Their secondary structure includes four short double-helical elements and three loops (D, anti-codon, and T loops). Further hydrogen bonds mediate the characteristic L-shaped molecular structure. tRNAs have two regions of fundamental functional importance: the anti-codon, which is responsible for specific mRNA codon recognition, and the 3' end, to which the tRNAs corresponding amino acid is attached (by aminoacyl-tRNA synthetases). tRNAs cope with the degeneracy of the genetic code in two manners: having more than one tRNA (with a specific anti-codon) for a particular amino acid; and 'wobble' base-pairing, i.e. permitting non-standard base-pairing at the 3rd anti-codon position.
Source: Rfam by way of RNAcentral